UACGUAGGGAGCAAGCGUUGUCCGGAAUCAUUGGGCGUAAAGAGCGCGUAGGUGGCUGCAUAAGUCCGUUGUGAAAGUCAAAGGCUCAACCUUUGAACGCCGAUGGAUACUGUGGAGCUAGAGUACGGAAGAGGCGAGUGGAAUUCCUGGUGUAGCGGUGGAAUGCGCAGAUAUCAGGAGGAACACCAAUAGCGAAGGCAGCUCGCUGGGACGUUACUGACACUGAGGCGCGAAAGCGUGGGGAGCGAACAGG
RNAcentral lists this ribosomal RNA (253 nucleotides) under uncultured bacterium. RNAcentral's name for it is "partial 16S ribosomal RNA". It matches the Rfam family "Bacterial small subunit ribosomal RNA", at positions 524 to 776 of the family's 1533-position model. The record is from RNAcentral.